Spea bombifrons (plains spadefoot toad) is the source of this 701-nucleotide long non-coding RNA. RefSeq lists it as uncharacterized. The transcript is spliced from 2 exons. The record is from RefSeq and is a predicted model, not a curated record. NCBI's taxonomy places the organism in Eukaryota, Metazoa, Chordata, Amphibia, Anura, Pelobatidae.
GGGAAAUUAUCACACUAUUCAUAAAGUCUGUAUAAAGAAAUUACUUUAUUUAAUUUACUUUAGUAAAUCUGGUGCUGUCCACUUUGUACCUCCUCAAGAAGGACCAUCACGUUUUAGCUCUCCAGUGCUAUAUUCACCAAUUAGUGAGCCUCAUGUGAUUUGCAGUGCAUCGAUGAAUUAAACAGAUUGAACUACAUAGUAUGGAGGGUUAAACGUCAUGUCUGCCUCUUCAUGAUUUGAGGUAGUUUUUUUUUCUUCCUCUUCCUGAAACUCAUCUGACUCACUGAUUAGUGAAUAUUAACGCCCUGUAUUUUUACUGGAUAUCUAUUAUAGUCCCAACAAUGAGUGCCAAAGUUGGCCUUACUUCACUCUAACAUAGUAAGCUGUCACUUUUUUUUUAUGUAUGGAAACAGUAGCUUAGAGAAUAACAGGGUUAAAAGCUUUUGUGUAGUAGUUAGUUUUGAUGAAUAUAAAAGGAUGUAGCUAAUCCGAAGAUGUAAAUUAAACUUUUUCUUUAAAAAAAAAACUCUUGCUUUUGUUCAAGGAGAUAAAUAAUCUAACAAAAUAGGACAGAAAAUAAAACUUGAAUACCUGGCAAAACAAUUAGUUAAAAAAAACAAACAUUUUGCAAUGUGGGUUAUGAUUACCUCUAAAUAAAACCAAGCUAUAAUGUAUGAGGAAUCUCUUCAAGGUGUUUUCUG